GUUUAGAUGCGCCAGGCUGCCUGGUGCUGUCAGCUUGUGCCUUCCAUCCACAUCAAACUGUCUUUCCCCCUCCUUUCAUGCUCUCCUGCUUUCAUUUGGCCACUGGAGCCUUCCUCAGUGGUUUCCUCCCCCAGCCAUAAGUGCCCUAAUAGGUUUAUCUGCCUGGUCCUCUCUACAGGCUAGUUAAUAGUUCUAGUUUUACAUAAAUUCCCAUGUCAUUGUUAUUUGUCCAUGGGGCUGAGCUUUACUGAGGCCGGCAUAUAGCACUGUGCCUCAUUUAAAAUAUGCCAUCACUUCAUUAUUCAUGUUUCUACCUGGUUUCUGAAGCUUCCUAGGGCAUCUUCUACAUUGGAUAAAGAGACAUUCCCAGUCAAGCCCUUUGAAAGAUUUAGAAGAGAAGCAAGUGACAGUCGAUUGCUUGGUCUGACCUUUGUUCUCUUAUCAUUCUUGGAGAAGUCAGGAAGAGAGGUUCAUUUUCAUUCCGUUUGGGUUUGUUUAACAUCCACUAUAGGUUAAGGAAAAAUGCAACUAUUAAUCUUUCUAACUUUUUUGUUAUUCUAGCAUCUUGUCUAGAGUGUUCGAACUCCCCUGUUCUGCCAGUGUGUCCUCUGCAGACCAUAUACAGGGUGACUUAUAGCAAGAAUACAGUUCACUCUUCAAGAAUACAGAGCACCACUCCUGUAAAUCACAGUGAAUUUGGCUUGAAUUUUGCAGCGUUGCUGCUGGAAGGCAAGUAAUGCUGGA
This 744-nucleotide long non-coding RNA is filed under the name Rattus norvegicus (Norway rat). RNAcentral's name for it is "long non-coding RNA NONRATT022333". Lineage: Eukaryota; Metazoa; Chordata; Mammalia; Rodentia; Muridae. The record is from RNAcentral.